This 87-nucleotide transfer RNA is filed under the name Macroventuria anomochaeta. RNAcentral's name for it is "tRNA-Phe". It matches the Rfam family "tRNA". Rfam says of the family: Transfer RNA (tRNA) molecules are approximately 80 nucleotides in length. Their secondary structure includes four short double-helical elements and three loops (D, anti-codon, and T loops). The record is from RNAcentral. Lineage: Eukaryota; Fungi; Ascomycota; Dothideomycetes; Pleosporales; Didymellaceae.
GUCGCUUUAGCUCACUUGGGAGAGCGCCAGACUGAAGUCCUCAGUCACUAAAUCUGGAGGUACUGUGUUCGAUCCACAGAAGCGACA